UUUGAUUCAUUAUUGUUUUUUUCCAAUAUAUAAUUUUUAACUUAAUUUCACUGAUAUUGAAAUUUAAUGAAUUUCAUUUAAAGGUGUAUCAUUUUUUUGUAAUUGCAUAUUAUUAUAUUAAAAUAAAUAAUACCCCUUCUUAUACAGGGACAGAAAUAACAUUGUUGUUGACUCAAUAUUUUUUAAAUAAUUAUCAUAGUUCAAUUUUUAAUGGAAGAUACAUUAUAUGUUCUUUUUACCUAUGCUAAAGUAUGGUAGGCAUAAUGUUGGAAUAAGUAAUCGUAAGUAGUGAAUUGUUAUGUUCUAAAAUUCUGUUAAAAUAUUUUUAUUAUUAUUGAUAACAUUAUUUCUUAUUGUGUUUUAGUCUAAUCAUAUUAAAGUGAAAUCUCUAUUUAUUUAUAUCUUCUUAUAAACUAAUCUUUAUAGCAGACAGUUUUUUAUCUAGAUAAAUGUAUUGAUGAAAACUAACUUCUUAACUAUAUAUUUGUUUUAAUAAAGGACUUUCUUUGUUCUUAUUGAGUUGCUUUGUAGAGGUUUCACUGAUUCAAUAGAUGACUGGUUAUUAAUUGUGGGUACAAGAUAUUAUGUUAGGCAUUUAAUGCAGACUAACAUUAUUGAGACUCCUAUCAACAGCAUAGAACUUAGGUCCCCAGUUCAAAGAUAGUAAGUGUUUUAGGUAGGUCUGAAAAUUUCAAAUUAUGUUAAUGUGUGUAACAAAUAUA
Non-coding RNA from Cinara cedri, 722 nucleotides. Lineage: Eukaryota; Metazoa; Arthropoda; Insecta; Hemiptera; Aphididae. The record is from the annotation of a GenBank genome assembly.